RNAcentral lists this ribosomal RNA (497 nucleotides) under uncultured bacterium. Its description in RNAcentral is "partial 16S ribosomal RNA". It matches the Rfam family "Bacterial small subunit ribosomal RNA", at positions 28 to 507 of the family's 1533-position model. The record is from RNAcentral.
GACGAACGCUGGCGGCGUGCCUAAUACAUGCAAGUUGAGCGCUGAAGGUUGGUACUUGUACCAACUGGAUGAGCAGCGAACGGGUGAGUAACGCGUGGGGAAUCUGCCUUUGAGCGGGGGACAACAUUUGGAAACGAAUGCUAAUACCGCAUAAAAACUUUAAACACAAGUUUUAAGUUUGAAAGAUGCAAUUGCAUCACUCAAAGAUGAUCCCGCGUUGUAUUAGCUAGUUGGUGAGGUAAAGGCUCACCAAGGCGAUGAUACAUAGCCGACCUGAGAGGGGGAUCGGCCACAUUGGGACUGAGACACGGCCCAAACUCCUACGGGAGGCAGCAGUAGGGAAUCUUCGGCAAUGGACGAAAGGCUGACCGAGCAACGCCGCGUGAGUGAAGAAGGGUUUCGGAUCGUAAAACUCUGUUGGUAGAGAAGAACGUUGGUGAGAGUGGAAAGCUCAUCAAGUGACGGUAACUACCCAGAAAGGGACGGCUAACUACGUG